CCUGGUUUUUUCAAACAGUAAAGAGUCUGCCUGCAAUGCAGGAGACCAGGGUUCGAUCCCUGAAUUGGAA
This 70-nucleotide transfer RNA is filed under the name Bos taurus (domestic cattle). It matches the Rfam family "tRNA". Rfam says of the family: Transfer RNA (tRNA) molecules are approximately 80 nucleotides in length. Their secondary structure includes four short double-helical elements and three loops (D, anti-codon, and T loops). Further hydrogen bonds mediate the characteristic L-shaped molecular structure. tRNAs have two regions of fundamental functional importance: the anti-codon, which is responsible for specific mRNA codon recognition, and the 3' end, to which the tRNAs corresponding amino acid is attached (by aminoacyl-tRNA synthetases). tRNAs cope with the degeneracy of the genetic code in two manners: having more than one tRNA (with a specific anti-codon) for a particular amino acid; and 'wobble' base-pairing, i.e. permitting non-standard base-pairing at the 3rd anti-codon position. Lineage: Eukaryota; Metazoa; Chordata; Mammalia; Artiodactyla; Bovidae. RNAcentral also lists the same sequence under 1 other name. The record is from Rfam by way of RNAcentral.